This is an unclassified non-coding RNA of Phocoena sinus (vaquita), 300 nucleotides long. It matches the Rfam family "Metazoan signal recognition particle RNA". From Rfam's summary of the family: The signal recognition particle (SRP) is a universally conserved ribonucleoprotein. It is involved in the co-translational targeting of proteins to membranes. The record is from Ensembl. Lineage: Eukaryota; Metazoa; Chordata; Mammalia; Artiodactyla; Phocoenidae.
GCCGGGUGCGGUGGCAUGCGCCUGUAGUCCCAGCUACUCGGGAAGCUGAGGCAGGAGGAUUGCCUGAGCCCAGGAGUUCUGGGUUGUAGUGCGCUAUGCCGAUCUGGUGUCCGCACUAAGUUUGGCAUCAAUAUGGUGACCUCCUGGGAGCGGGGGACCACCAGGUUGCCUAAGGAGGAAUGAACCGGCCCAGGUUGGAAACGGGGCAGGUCAAAACUCCCGUGCUGAUCAGUAGUGGGAUCGUGCCUGUGACUAGCCACUGCACUCCAGCCUGGGCAACAUAGUGAGACCCCGUCUCUU